This 492-nucleotide ribosomal RNA is filed under the name uncultured bacterium. Its description in RNAcentral is "partial 16S ribosomal RNA". It matches the Rfam family "Bacterial small subunit ribosomal RNA", at positions 29 to 507 of the family's 1533-position model. The record is from RNAcentral.
AGUGAACGCUGGCGGUAGGCCUAACACAUGCAAGUCGAACGGCAGCACAGUAAGAGCUUGCUCUUACGGGUGGCGAGUGGCGGACGGGUGAGGAAUACAUCGGAAUCUACUUUUUCGUGGGGGAUAACGUAGGGAAACUUACGCUAAUACCGCAUACGACCUACGGGUGAAAGCAGGGGAUCUUCGGACCUUGCGCGAUUGAAUGAGCCGAUGUCGGAUUAGCUAGUUGGCGGGGUAAAGGCCCACCAAGGCGACGAUCCGUAGCUGGUCUGAGAGGAUGAUCAGCCACACUGGAACUGAGACACGGUCCAGACUCCUACGGGAGGCAGCAGUGGGGAAUAUUGGACAAUGGGCGCAAGCCUGAUCCAGCCGUACCGCGUGGGUGAAGAAGGCCUUCGGGUUGUAAAGCCCUUUUGUUGGGAAAGAAAAGCAGCAGGUUAAUACCCCGCUGUUCUGACGGUACCCAAAGAACAAGCACCGGCUAACUUCGUG